RNAcentral lists this ribosomal RNA (433 nucleotides) under uncultured bacterium. RNAcentral's name for it is "partial 16S ribosomal RNA". It matches the Rfam family "Bacterial small subunit ribosomal RNA", at positions 29 to 507 of the family's 1533-position model. The record is from RNAcentral.
AGCGAACGCUGGCGGCAGGCCUAACACAUGCAAGUCGAACGAACCUUUCGGGGUUAGUGGCGGACGGGUGAGUAACACGUGGGAACGUGCCUUUAGGUUCGGAAUAACUCAGGGAAACUUGUGCUAAUACCGAAUGUGCCCUUCGGGGGAAGAUUAAUCGCCUUUAGAGCGGCCCGCGUCUGAUUAGCUAGUUGGUUGAGGUAAUGGCUCACCAAGGCGACGAUCAGUAGCUGGUCUGAGAGGAUGAUCAGCCACAUUGGGACUGAGACACGGCCCAAACUCCUACGGGAGGCAGCAGUGGGGAAUCUUGCGCAAUGGGCGAAAGCCUGACGCAGCCAUGCCGCGUGAAUGAUGAAGGUCUUAGGAUUGUAAAAUUCUUUCACCGGGGACGAUAAUGACGGUACCCGGAGAAGAAGCCCCGGCUAACUUCGUG